Molecule: ribosomal RNA, 492 nt
Filed under: uncultured bacterium
Lineage: Bacteria
Description: partial 16S ribosomal RNA
Rfam family: Bacterial small subunit ribosomal RNA
Source: RNAcentral
AGUGAACGCUGGCGGUAGGCCUAACACAUGCAAGUCGAACGGCAGCACAGUAAGAGCUUGCUCUUACGGGUGGCGAGUGGCGGGCGGGUGAGGAAUACAUCGGAAUCUACUUUUUCGUGGGGGAUAACGUAGGGAAACUUACGCUAAUACCGCAUACGACCUACGGGUGAAAGCAUGGGAUCUUCUGACCUUGCGCGAUUGAAUUAGCCGAUGUCGGAUUAGCUAGUUGGCGGGGUAAAGGCCCACCAAGGCGACGAUCCGUAGCUGGUCUGAGAGGAUGAUCAGCCACACUGGAACUGAGACACGGUCCAGACUCCUACGGGAGGCAGCAGUGGGGAAUAUUGGACAAUGGGCGCAAGCCUGAUCCAGCCAUACCGCGUGGGUGAAGAAGGCCUUCGGGUUGUAAAGCCCUUUUGUUGGGAAAGAAAAGCAGCAGGUUAAUACCCCGCUGUUCUGACGGUACCCAAAGAAUAAGCACCGGCUAACUUCGUG